RNAcentral lists this ribosomal RNA (1009 nucleotides) under Klebsiella pneumoniae. RNAcentral describes it as "partial 23S ribosomal RNA". It matches the Rfam family "Bacterial large subunit ribosomal RNA", at positions 1 to 1052 of the family's 2925-position model. Lineage: Bacteria; Pseudomonadati; Pseudomonadota; Gammaproteobacteria; Enterobacterales; Enterobacteriaceae. The record is from RNAcentral.
GGUUAAGCGACUAAGCGUACACGGUGGAUGCCCUGGCAGUCAGAGGCGAUGAAGGACGUGCUAAUCUGCGAAAAGCGUCGGUAAGGUGAUAUGAACCGUUAUAACCGGCGAUGUCCGAAUGGGGAAACCCAGUGCAAUUCGUUGCACUAUCGUUAACUGAAUACAUAGGUUAACGAGGCGAACCGGGGGAACUGAAACAUCUAAGUACCCCGAGGAAAAGAAAUCAACCGAGAUUCCCCCAGUAGCGGCGAGCGAACGGGGAGCAGCCCAGAGUCUGAAUCAGCUUGUGUGUUAGUGGAACGGUCUGGAAAGUCCGACGGUACAGGGUGAUAGUCCCGUACACCAAAAUGCACAGGCUGUGAACUCGAAGAGUAGGGCGGGACACGUGGUAUCCUGUCUGAAUAUGGGGGGACCAUCCUCCAAGGCUAAAUACUCCUGACUGACCGAUAGUGAACCAGUACCGUGAGGGAAAGGCGAAAAGAACCCCGGCGAGGGGAGUGAAAAAGAACCUGAAACCGUGUACGUACAAGCAGUGGGAGCACCUUCGGGUGUGACUGCGUACCUUUUGUAUAAUGGGUCAGCGACUUAUAUUCUGUAGCAAGGUUAACCGUAUAGGGGAGCCGCAGGGAAACCGAGUCUUAACUGGGCGUUAAGUUGCAGGGUAUAGACCCGAAACCCGGUGAUCUAGCCAUGGGCAGGUUGAAGGUUGGGUAACACUAACUGGAGGACCGAACCGACUAAUGUUGAAAAAUUAGCGGAUGACUUGUGGCUGGGGGUGAAAGGCCAAUCAAACCGGGAGAUAGCUGGUUCUCCCCGAAAGCUAUUUAGGUAGCGCCUCGUGAAUUCAUCUUCGGGGGUAGAGCACUGUUUCGGCUAGGGGGUCAUCCCGACUUACCAACCCGAUGCAAACUACGAAUACCGAAGAAUGUUAUCACGGGAGACACACGGCGGGUGCUAACGUCCGUCGUGAAGAGGGAAACAACCCAGACCGCCAGCUAAGGUCCCAAAG